ACUACGGGUGGCAGCAGUGGGGAAUAUUGGACAAUGGGCGAAAGCCUGAUCCAGCCAUGCCGCGUGUGUGAAGAAGGCCUUCGGGUUGUAAAACACUUUCAGUGGGGAAGAAAGCCUUGGGGCUAAUACCCUCGAGGAAGGACAUCACCCACAGAAGAAGCACCGGCUAACUCCGUGCCAGCAGCCGCGGUAAUACGGAGGGUGCGAGCGUUAAUCGGAAUUACUGGGCGUAAAGCGCGCGUAGGCGGUCUGAUAAGCCGGUUGUGAAAGCCCCGGGCUCAACCUGGGAACGGCAUCCGGAACUGUCAGGCUAGAGUGCAGGAGAGGAAGGUAGAAUUCCCGGUGUAGCGGUGAAAUGCGUAGAGAUCGGGAGGAAUACCAGUGGCGAAGGCGGCCUUCUGGACUGACACUGACGCUGAGGUGCGAAAGCGUGGGUAGCAAACAGGAUUAGAUACCCGGGUAGUC
This 465-nucleotide ribosomal RNA is filed under the name Vreelandella stevensii. RNAcentral's name for it is "partial 16S ribosomal RNA". It matches the Rfam family "Bacterial small subunit ribosomal RNA", at positions 338 to 795 of the family's 1533-position model. The record is from RNAcentral. Lineage: Bacteria; Pseudomonadati; Pseudomonadota; Gammaproteobacteria; Oceanospirillales; Halomonadaceae.